CUUAAACAAACCACAAACGGAUGUGAGGGAAGGAAGGUGUUUCUUUUACUCCUGAGCCCAGACACCUCUUUCUUUUCCGUCUAAGCUUGUUUUGCUGAGCACUUUUUUUAAAAAAGAAAAAAAAAAAAAGGAAAAGAAAAGGAGUUGCUUGAUGUGAGAGUGAAAUGGACGUAAGAUUUUAUCCACCUCCAGCCCAGCCCGCCGCUGCGCCCGACGCUCCCUGUCUGGGACCUUCUCCCUGCCUGGACCCCUACUAUUGCAACAAGGUGAACGCUCUGCUUUUGUUUCCACUGUGU
This 296-nucleotide long non-coding RNA is filed under the name Marmota monax (woodchuck). Lineage: Eukaryota; Metazoa; Chordata; Mammalia; Rodentia; Sciuridae. The record is from RNAcentral.